Molecule: long non-coding RNA, 1247 nt
Organism: Dromaius novaehollandiae (emu)
Lineage: Eukaryota; Metazoa; Chordata; Aves; Casuariiformes; Dromaiidae
Source: Ensembl
CCCACGCCAGGCCCGCGCCGCACCCCGCCUCUCCCAGGAACACGGCAACGCCGGGCCGGGCCGGGCCGGGCCCCGCCGCGCCGCGCCGCGCCGCUCCGCGGAGCCGCCCGGAGCGCCCCUACCUGUGCCGGGCUCACAUCCUCGGGCCGAGGCCAGCGCUGCCCCCCCGGCGCCGCUCCGGCUACGGCCCCCGCCCGAAGUUUGCCUGCCUUGCGCGGGGCUGAAGGACUGUUGACCCUACAGAAGUUUUCGAAUCAAAUUCUCCCUGCAGACUGACUUGAGUGAAUGACCUCCAAACUUGGCCUACUGGGAUGGAGAGAGAUCCUAACACCGAUAUAUGGAGGAGGUCACUGGGGAUUUGUGCUAAUAGGCCCAUCUGUAAACCGGCAAACUGGAAUUCAACGCAUGUCGUGUUUGGCCAUCCCAUCUGCAUGGUGACAGGUACUGAUGGCAAAUCAUCCUGGUCCUUUCACUAGUUCAGCUUCGGCAAAGUAGGUGUCAGGAGCCUGGUUAUGGAGCCGUGGGGCCGUUUAUCUGAAACUCUGACACUUGGCCUUUGCUGGAGGUCGAUGUGGGACUUAGCAAGCAUUGACCUGCAGGGGAAGAGUGUGUUUUGCAUACUGAGUCAUGUCUUGAAAAGGCAUGAGGUAUCAAAUGCACUCCACUCCAGCCCUGCUUCUUCCAUCUGUUGCAAAAGAUACGGGAAGCUAACCUUGGGCAUUUCAAGACAGCCAGAACUUCUAGCUAAGGUACCAACUUUGGUGGUAAAAUCUUGACUUAAGAUCUCAUUAUGGUCUUUCCAAUUGAGUAAGAAUAGGCAUGCGAACUGUUGUAGGAAUCUGGAUCUAAACUUUACUGAGUGUUAACAGGGCUCUGUUCAUUGCUGAUAGAUUAAGAGCUGAAGAUUCACAUCUGAUAAUUGUGCAUGGUGAGAAAGCAAAAGAGGCUGAGAUGAAACUGUAGCUCAUGACCCCAGAGAAGCUGCAGAAGGUAACAAGAGUAGUGUGAGCUUUGGUGGCAGGUAUUUAUUGUGAGAAAGCUUUUAGCUGGAAAGGUUGUUUUUGAAAAAAAAAUCAAAACUAUUUUGCAAAGACUGAACACUUCCAUUUUUAUUCAAAGAUUAAUUUCAUAAUGUUCAUAUUUUUGUUCAUUAUGGUUAAAUGUUAUUUCUUAAAUGUAACUAAAUUACAGAAGUAUGUAGAGUUAAAAUGAGAAUGAAAUAAAAAUAUUUUGAUCCAAAGCUAUUU